AUGAACGCUGGUGGCGUGCCUAAUACCUGCAAGUCGCGCGAACGGACGAGAAGCUUGCUUCUCUGAUGUUAGCGGCGGACGGGUGAGUAACACGUGGAUAACCUACCUAUAAGACUGGGAUAACUUCGGGAAACCGGAGCUAAUACCGGAUGAUAUUUUGAACCGCAUGGUUCCAAAGUGAAAGACGGUCUUGCUGUCACUUAUAGAUGGAUCCGCGCUGCAUUAGCUAGUUGGUAAGGUAACGGCUUACCAAGGCAACGAUGCAUAGCCGACCUGAGAGGGUGAUCGGCCACACUGGAACUGAGACACGGUCCAGACUCCUACGGGAGGCAGCAGUAGGGAAUCUUCCGCAAUGGGCGAAAGCCUGACGGAGCAACGCCGCGUGAGUGAUGAAGGUCUUCGGAUCGUAAAACUCUGUUAUUAGGGAAGAACAUAUGUGUAAGUAACUGUGCACAUCUUGACGGUACCUAAUCAGAAAGCCACGGCUAACUACGUG
RNAcentral lists this ribosomal RNA (496 nucleotides) under uncultured bacterium. Its description in RNAcentral is "partial 16S ribosomal RNA". It matches the Rfam family "Bacterial small subunit ribosomal RNA", at positions 29 to 507 of the family's 1533-position model. The record is from RNAcentral.